Molecule: transfer RNA, 67 nt
Filed under: Cryptonome barbada
Lineage: Eukaryota; Metazoa; Annelida; Polychaeta; Eunicida; Amphinomidae
Description: tRNA-Trp
Source: RNAcentral
AAGACUUUAAGUUAAAACAAACUAAAGGCCUUCAAAGCCCUCAAUGGACCUUCCAACCCAAGUCUUG